Molecule: transfer RNA, 78 nt
Filed under: Ruminococcaceae bacterium OttesenSCG-928-O06
Lineage: Bacteria; Bacillati; Bacillota; Clostridia; Eubacteriales; Oscillospiraceae
Description: tRNA-Arg
Rfam family: tRNA
About the family: Transfer RNA (tRNA) molecules are approximately 80 nucleotides in length. Their secondary structure includes four short double-helical elements and three loops (D, anti-codon, and T loops).
Source: RNAcentral
GCGCCAGUAGCUCAGCUGGAUAGUAGCACCUGCCUUCUAAGCAGGGGGCCGGGGGUUCAAGUCCCUCCUGGCGUACCA